GCCGGGGUGGGGUAGCCUGGUAAAUCCUGCGGGGCUGUGGACCCCGUGACCCGGGUUCGAAUCCCGGCCCCGGCCCCA
This 78-nucleotide transfer RNA is filed under the name Thermoplasmata archaeon. RNAcentral describes it as "tRNA-His". It matches the Rfam family "tRNA". From Rfam's summary of the family: Transfer RNA (tRNA) molecules are approximately 80 nucleotides in length. Their secondary structure includes four short double-helical elements and three loops (D, anti-codon, and T loops). Further hydrogen bonds mediate the characteristic L-shaped molecular structure. tRNAs have two regions of fundamental functional importance: the anti-codon, which is responsible for specific mRNA codon recognition, and the 3' end, to which the tRNAs corresponding amino acid is attached (by aminoacyl-tRNA synthetases). tRNAs cope with the degeneracy of the genetic code in two manners: having more than one tRNA (with a specific anti-codon) for a particular amino acid; and 'wobble' base-pairing, i.e. permitting non-standard base-pairing at the 3rd anti-codon position. Lineage: Archaea; Methanobacteriati; Thermoplasmatota; Thermoplasmata. RNAcentral also lists the same sequence under 2 other names. The record is from RNAcentral.